UUAAGUAUAGUAUAAAUAUUACAACCUGCUUACACCAGGUAGAUCAUCUUGUGUACUUAAU
RNAcentral lists this transfer RNA (61 nucleotides) under Cernuella virgata. RNAcentral's name for it is "tRNA-Val". The record is from RNAcentral. Lineage: Eukaryota; Metazoa; Mollusca; Gastropoda; Stylommatophora; Geomitridae.